Molecule: ribosomal RNA, 915 nt
Filed under: Staphylococcus aureus
Lineage: Bacteria; Bacillati; Bacillota; Bacilli; Caryophanales; Staphylococcaceae
Description: partial 23S ribosomal RNA
Rfam family: Bacterial large subunit ribosomal RNA
Source: RNAcentral
AUUAGACGAAUCAUCUGGAAAGAUGAAUCAAAGAAGGUAAUAAUCCUGUAGUCGAAAAUGUUGUCUCUCUUGAGUGGAUCCUGAGUACGACGGAGCACGUGAAAUUCCGUCGGAAUCUGGGAGGACCAUCUCCUAAGGCUAAAUACUCUCUAGUGACCGAUAGUGAACCAGUACCGUGAGGGAAAGGUGAAAAGCACCCCGGAAGGGGAGUGAAAUAGAACCUGAAACCGUGUGCUUACAAGUAGUCAGAGCCCGUUAAUGGGUGAUGGCGUGCCUUUUGUAGAAUGAACCGGCGAGUUACGAUUUGAUGCAAGGUUAAGCAGUAAAUGUGGAGCCGUAGCGAAAGCGAGUCUGAAUAGGGCGUUUAGUAUUUGGUCGUAGACCCGAAACCAGGUGAUCUACCCUUGGUCAGGUUGAAGUUCAGGUAACACUGAAUGGAGGACCGAACCGACUUACGUUGAAAAGUGAGCGGAUGAACUGAGGGUAGCGGAGAAAUUCCAAUCGAACCUGGAGAUAGCUGGUUCUCUCCGAAAUAGCUUUAGGGCUAGCCUCAAGUGAUGAUUAUUGGAGGUAGAGCACUGUUUGGACGAGGGGCCCCUCUCGGGUUACCGAAUUCAGACAAACUCCGAAUGCCAAUUAAUUUAACUUGGGAGUCAGAACAUGGGUGAUAAGGUCCGUGUUCGAAAGGGAAACAGCCCAGACCACCAGCUAAGGUCCCAAAAUAUAUGUUAAGUGGAAAAGGAUGUGGCGUUGCCCAGACAACUAGGAUGUUGGCUUAGAAGCAGCCAUCAUUUAAAGAGUGCGUAAUAGCUCACUAGUCGAGUGACACUGCGCCGAAAAUGUACCGGGGCUAAACAUAUUACCGAAGCUGUGGAUUGUCCUUUGGACAAUGGUAGGAGAGCGUUCUAAGGGCGU